ACAUUGCUGAGGAGUCCCACAAUAGGACGAAACGGUUGUCUAGUGCUUCCAAGAU
Molecule: non-coding RNA, 55 nt
Organism: Schistosoma rodhaini
Lineage: Eukaryota; Metazoa; Platyhelminthes; Trematoda; Strigeidida; Schistosomatidae
Source: Rfam